UAGCUUGAAUGCAGGGGAGACACCAUGAUUGGGCAGGUGGUUUUUCCAGGACGAGGCUCAUCCCUUGCACUCCGGGUGUGCUGACCCCUGCGAUUUCCCCAAAUGCGGGAAACUGGACUGCAUAAUUGGUGGUACUGGGGGACCGUGUUCGCACUCUCCCCUU
Molecule: small nuclear RNA, 163 nt
Organism: Strigops habroptila (Kakapo)
Lineage: Eukaryota; Metazoa; Chordata; Aves; Psittaciformes; Psittacidae
Gene: U1
Rfam family: U1 spliceosomal RNA
About the family: U1 is a small nuclear RNA (snRNA) component of the spliceosome (involved in pre-mRNA splicing). Its 5' end forms complementary base pairs with the 5' splice junction, thus defining the 5' donor site of an intron.
Source: Ensembl